AGCGUCUCACUCGGGUCUCGGUUACUUUACCUUGCCUUACCAAGCACUGCCCUGAAUACCUUUAUUUCGCGUCCUAAGCCUUUGUUGUUGCUUACAUGUUGUUAAGUAGCAUUCGAGUACUUCUCCUCAAAGAGACUUGUGACAUAAAGCUGUCAACGUAUCCACGUGCUCUUCUUGAUCGUUAACAGAUACUCAUCUAGGCCGUUUUUUCGGCGAUCUAUCAGAAGAACACUUGUGGUCAACUGGACUAGGCGGCAUAAGGUUAGUACAGGUUUUAAAACCUUCUCAACCUCAAUUCGCUAUGUACAGGGAUAUAAUGAUGAAAUCAACACGACGGUUUGAUUAGGCUCGAGGACUUCCUUUGAAUGACACUGAUUUCGCGUCUCAGAUGGUCGAAAACAGAAGUUGUAGGCGGGUUAGGUCGGAGCUCCAGUG
This 435-nucleotide long non-coding RNA is filed under the name Malus domestica (apple). RNAcentral describes it as "long non-coding RNA (MDOM_LNC001593)". Lineage: Eukaryota; Viridiplantae; Streptophyta; Magnoliopsida; Rosales; Rosaceae. The record is from RNAcentral.